CCCUUAGAUGUCCUGGGCCACACGCGUGCUACACUGAUGCAUUCAACGAGUUUUACCUUGGCCGAGAGGCCUGGGCAAUCUUUUAAACCUGCAUCGUGAUAGGGAUAGAUUAUUGCAAUUAUUAAUCUUGAACGAGGAAUUCCUAGUAAACGCAAAUCAUCAAUUUGCAUUGAUUACGUCCCUGCCCUUUGUACACACCGCCCGUCGCUCCUACCGAUUGAGUGGUCCGGUGAGGCUUUGGGAUCUGAGCGGAAAGAGCGUUUCGCUGUUUCUGCUCGGAAAACUCAGUCGAACCUUAUCAUUUAGAGGAAGGAGAAGUCGUAACA
This 326-nucleotide ribosomal RNA is filed under the name uncultured eukaryote. Its description in RNAcentral is "partial 18S ribosomal RNA". It matches the Rfam family "Eukaryotic small subunit ribosomal RNA", at positions 1470 to 1796 of the family's 1831-position model. The record is from RNAcentral.